This 446-nucleotide ribosomal RNA is filed under the name uncultured bacterium. RNAcentral describes it as "partial 16S ribosomal RNA". It matches the Rfam family "Bacterial small subunit ribosomal RNA", at positions 338 to 795 of the family's 1533-position model. The record is from RNAcentral.
CCUACGGGUGGCUGCAGUCGAGAAUCAUUCACAAUGGGGGAAACCCUGAUGGUGCGACGCCGCGUGGGGGAAUGAAGGUCUUCGGAUUGUAAACCCCUGUCAUGUGGGAGCAAAUUAAAAAGAUAGUACCACAAGAGGAAGAUACGGCUAACUCUGUGCCAGCAGCCGCGGUAAUACAGAGGUCUCUAGCGUUGUUCGGAAUCACUGGGCGUAAGGCGUGCGUAGGCUGUUUCGUAAGUCGUGUGUGAAAGGCGCGGGCUCAACCCGCGGACGGCACAUGAUACUGCGAGACUAGAGUAAUGGAGGGGGAACCGGAAUUCUCGGUGUAGCAGUGAAAUGCGUAGAUAUCGAGAGGAACACUCGUGGCGAAGGCGGGUUCCUGGACAUUAACUGACGCUGAGGCACGAAGGCCAGGGGAGCGAAAGGGAUUAGAUACCCCGGUAGUC